RNAcentral lists this unclassified non-coding RNA (2033 nucleotides) under Hevea brasiliensis (rubber tree). Lineage: Eukaryota; Viridiplantae; Streptophyta; Magnoliopsida; Malpighiales; Euphorbiaceae. The record is from RNAcentral.
CACACACACACACACACACACUUGCACGGAAAACACAUUACAUCACAUGCAUAGUUGCUAACCAAAUAUAUAUUUUCAGCGAUGGUGACAUGCUAGUAUUUGGAAAUUUUCUGAUGGAUUUGCUUGAUAUUUCUAAUCAGCUUGGUGCAUCAUAUUUACUUGUACUUUUUCUCUCUUUAGCUUGAUACGCUAUACUUUGUGAAGAUUGUGCAUUUUAGUCCGUGGAGUUUUCUAAUUUGUUGCCCAUGUUGAGAAUCUAAUUUUCUCAAAAAUCACAGUUAUGACACCAAAAAAAGAGGUGCAUUUUGUGGAAAACAUGUAAAGAAGUGCUUUUAAGUAUGGUGAUCACAUCUCUUAAAAAAAAAGGUAUGGUGAUCACAUUUUGAUAGCAUUAGAAUAUCACUUGUGUGAACAAGUCCAACAUCAAUGGUGUACAAAAAUUAAAGGGUGUAUAAAUGUUAGCAAACCAAACUAAAAAGGUUUAGGUCAUUUUGGUGAUGGGGAGUCUAGUUUCAAGCCGAGUUUACUGUGUAGUUUGCCAAUUUGAUAGUCACACUCUUGGGUCCAUAAUUCUUAACAUAAUUUUAAAGUAGGUUAGGGCCUCGUUUCAAUUUCAGUUCAAUUUCUUGGUGUUGCCGCCACAUUUCAAUUUUAGGUUCCAAGUAUCAAUCAAAUGUCCGAUUGCCACUUGGAGGGAGUGGUGGAAUAUUUCUUGGGGGAACAAGUCUCACAUUGCCAAUGCACAAGAAAACUAAAAUGCAUACGAGUGUCGGCAAACCAAACUAAAAUGGCUUGCAUCAUUUUGUUGGUGGGGAACCUAGUUUUAGGUCAAGUUCAGUUUAUAGUUUCCCAAUUUGAUAUUCAUACUCUUGGGUCCAUAAUUCUCAGCAGGGUGUAUAUACGAUUGCUUUCGUGCGCUUUUAGUGAAAUUAGAGGCUGGCUAUGACUACUCUUCCUGCAAGGCAACAAAGGGUUAGAGAGCCGAGGGUAUUCCCUCUUGGCAAUCCGAUGGUUAAGUUGGUACAAGGUAGAAAAGAAAAGAGACAGAAGACAGAGGAAUUUAGAGCAAAGGGUUUAAAGAAUUUUUUACCUGGGAUAGUAUAUAUAUAUAUAUAUAUAUGACAACAAAUCCAAUAAUAAAUUAACAUGUGGAGGUUAUGCCCCCGGUAUCACUAGUUAUCCCUCUUCUGCAGUAAUUUCUAUUGAAAAUAUCUAAUUUAGUGAGUAUUAUUUGCUUAUUAAGUUAUUUUACUAUCUUAUUUUCUAUAGAGAUUAUUGAAAAUGGUUAACCCUUGAAUAAUGGUUAAUUGAACCGUUGAAACUGGUUAACUAGUUAGCCGGUUAACCAGUUAACCGGUUAUCCAAUAUAAAUGGCUGGUUAAGGUUCAAAGAAUUGAAAAACUGAUUGUUACAGUUCUGUUUUAAAAUUAUGCUCAUGGUUUGGCAGUUGGCACCCCUAGCAUUUAUGAAGACUCGUGACUUAUAGCGGCCUGUGAUCAAUGCCGCUAAAACUCAAAAUGCAUGCCAAUCUUGAAUUUCCGUGUUAAUAUCUUUUCUUAUUUAAUGAUUCCUCAUGCCAAGUUGUAGAUCUCCGAUUUUUGGGGAAAGAAAGGCCAACUAUAGUGCAAUAUUUAGGGGAAAGAAGUGCUUUGAACCGUUUUAGUAGAAGCAGACAUAUUUCUAGCGACCCUUGAACAAUCGAUUUGCUUUAAUAUAUUCAAUUACUGGUGAUGGUGUAUUCCUUGGUCAUGUUGGAUUGUACAGUCUGUUUCUUGGAAGUAAUGAGAUGAUCCUUGCAAUUGAUGAUUUGUUCUGGUUUUCACUGCGCUAAUCAUGUCCUCCCAAUGUUGUGGUCUAGUACGCUUAUCAAGUUACGACUUUAUGUGAAAUAUUUAUUGCUUGAAGUGGCUUGUUAAAUCUGAUUGCUGAUGUUGGAAACAUGCAGUCAAUAUUGGGCAAAUGAGGCUAUCAGGGUUGGACUUCGAAGCGGACGACAAGCCAUGAAACAGAUGACGUGAGCUGAUGCAUGGCAU